Molecule: unclassified non-coding RNA, 89 nt
Filed under: Pseudomonas antarctica
Lineage: Bacteria; Pseudomonadati; Pseudomonadota; Gammaproteobacteria; Pseudomonadales; Pseudomonadaceae
Source: RNAcentral
UGUGGGAGCUGGCUUGCCUGCGAUAGCGGUUUUUCAUCUGAUACAGUUGUGACUGAUACACCGCCAUCGCAGGCAAGCCAGCUCCCACA